GUGAAUUGAAUAUGUUAGCGGACCUCUUCGGAGUCCCUAGCAUCAAAUCAUAUCCAUAACACCUGUGAACUGUAAGGCUGUCUUGAAAACGAAAGUGAUUAGAGCGCCUGCCCAUUUUAUACAAACAUUAAAGUAACAAACGUAGUCUUAUUAUAAUCUAGUA
Molecule: unclassified non-coding RNA, 163 nt
Filed under: soil metagenome
Description: partial internal transcribed spacer 1
Source: RNAcentral